Molecule: long non-coding RNA, 285 nt
Organism: Calypte anna (Anna's hummingbird)
Lineage: Eukaryota; Metazoa; Chordata; Aves; Apodiformes; Trochilidae
Exons: 3
Source: RefSeq, a predicted model, not a curated record
CGCCCCGGCGCGGAGCCGCCGCGUCCGCUUCUCCCGCCGCCUCCGCCGCCGUUACCGGAGCCGGUGGGCAGAACGCGGAACGCCAGACGGGCAGGGGGGCGCCGCCCGCCUCCGGGGCGAGGAGAGGGGCGGAAGCGGCGCGGAGAGACGGGGGGCCAUUUAUGGUGAAUUUUGGAGCCCCAUUGUGAAACAUCAGGGGAGAGGCCGAGGGGUCAGAUAUUGGAGGACGCUAUUUAAAAACCAGAGAUCAUCUUCUGCUGAAGGAGGAGGUUUGCUCAAGACUGU